CCUACGGGGUGCAGCAGUGGGGAAUAUUGGACAAUGGGCGAAAGCCUGAUCCAGCCAUGCCGCGUGUGUGAAGAAGGCCUUCGGGUUGUAAAGCACUUUCAGUGGGGAAGAAAGCCUUGGGGCUAAUACCCUCGAGGAAGGACAUCACCCACAGAAGAAGCACCGGCUAACUCCGUGCCAGCAGCCGCGGUAAUACGGAGGGUGCGAGCGUUAAUCGGAAUUACUGGGCGUAAAGCGCGCGUAGGCGGUCUGAUAAGCCGGUUGUGAAAGCCCCGGGCUCAACCUGGGAACGGCAUCCGGAACUGUCAGGCUAGAGUGCAGGAGAGGAAGGGAGAAUUCCCGGUGUAGCGGUGAAAUGCGUAGAGAUCGGGAGGAAUACCAGUGGCGAAGGCGGCCUUCUGGACUGACACUGACGCUGAGGUGCGAAAGCGUGGGUAGCAAACAGGAUUAGAUACCCCGGUAGUC
This 465-nucleotide ribosomal RNA is filed under the name Vreelandella stevensii. RNAcentral describes it as "partial 16S ribosomal RNA". It matches the Rfam family "Bacterial small subunit ribosomal RNA", at positions 338 to 795 of the family's 1533-position model. The record is from RNAcentral. Lineage: Bacteria; Pseudomonadati; Pseudomonadota; Gammaproteobacteria; Oceanospirillales; Halomonadaceae.